AGAGCGCGUGUGGCCGCCGAGCACAUGGACCCACUGGUCAAGCGGGCUCGGCAAGGCCAGGAUGAAGAGAAGCUACGAACUUAGCAUUCCCAGAGCCCCCCGAGUGGAUAUCCGCGUGGAAAGGAUGUUGGCAGCCCCGGUGACCUCGGAGUCACGGCUGGAUCCACCCUCUUGUCUGAUUUUCUUAACUCUACUACGGUAAGAAGAUGCCCUCCAUCAGCAGGCCGUGUCUGCUGGGACCUCUCUGGAGACUUCCUGAACCCUGUGGAUUUACAGUAAGAUGCAGUUUCCUGGGGAGUAAUUCUGGUGGAUACAAAUUCCGGAGUAUUACACCUGGCUUGCCUGGAGAUGUUACAAGUAGCUGGAUGGAUUCUUCAGCCUGGAUGCCCACUGAAAACAAGGACCGAAACUAAGAGGAUUGUAUCUCUACCCUUGACUCAAUGAGAAUGUUUGUUGUCAUCUCUCGGGCUACCUGGAGCUCCCUCUAAAAUGUAAGCCCCUAAGACCCAUCUCCUUUCAAUGCAGUGUUUCUGUAUACCCUUUAAGCGUUCCAGAAGGAUUUUGAGAUCCUUUCCUAAAUCAAAGGUGGAAUAUUUGGGGAUUUGGAAAAUUGAGAUGUGAAGCGUUGACUUAAGAGAUGCCAAGUAACUCAGCAGAUGUCACACAGACGAUAAAUAGCAAAGAUGGAAGUCUUCAUGCCGGAGGCAAUCCUAUAAGACAGCUGAGUUCUGCAGAGCUGGAGACAGACUUGCUCAGGUGAUAGAUCCAGCCAUGAUACUGACCCUAAGAGAAUGAGACGCUCUGCAGAAGACAGAAGAUUCCUGAAACUGGGAAAGGUGCCUAGAAAUCCUGAUAAGAGUGAAGAAGGAGCUGGCAGAGCAGCCUUCCUCCGCACUAUGAAAGACAUCCAACAGAGAGCAAGUUCCCACCUCACUUCCAGCUUGACUCCUUUUUAUCUCCUAACUGUGGUCUGUGAUGUCUUCAGCAAUGGUAUUAACUAGUUCUGGGUACCUGGAGGCACAGCAGCCAUGUUGAACCUAUGAGGUGAUGAAAAACCAUGCAACUAGAAACCAGAAUGGAAGAAAAGAAGAAGCUGGAUCCUUGACUGAAUUGUCGAUGGGGGAUAGUCCAUCAUCCCAGGGCUAAGACCACCUCCAGAUUUCUUGUUUGGUGAAACAAGUCCUGAUUGUUUACAUUCCCUCGUGUUGAGCUGUCUCUUGCUUGUAGCUGAAAGCAUUUCUAAUAGAUAUUCAGAUUAUCAGCCUUAGCUCCAAGCUAGAAUACUCUAUGGGACCUUAGCUUCUCCAUGAAUUCCUUUGCUCAUCUGUGUAAUGCUCAAUAAAUGUAAAUUGAACCCUGAAUGAGGGACAAUGACACUAUUGAAGUCAUGAUUGUCAAUCUUAUUAACGGACUAACUACUUAACAAAAAGGUUGGAACACUGCCUGACGCACAGUAAGCGGCUGGGGAAAGGGUUUGCCAAAUGGAGUGACAAGAAAACAGUCAUGUUUAUAGGCUUUCUUUUACAUCUUGAUCCAUCUUCAAGCCUCUGUGGUCUUUAAGCAGAACCUUGACCCCUUCAGUACUGGGGCUCCUGGAGCAUGACACGCCCCCUAAACUCUUGUCUCAAAACACCCACUCUAGCAGUUUCUUUUUGACAAAAAAAAAGCCUUCUUAGUGAAUGCUGGCUUGUGAAAAAGAAGGGGCUGUGAUCAUCAAAUCGUGUUAGUAGAUGACCAAAAUACCCAAAGCAAUUCAUGCAAAUAGAUUCAAGUCUCUCUGGGCAAGCCUUCCUGAAGGCUCUAGAAUUUCUGAAGCUCAUUUUUGAAAGGGUCUUUCCAUAUGGUGGCCUUUUUCUUUUUUGCACCUCCUCCCUUCUUUCUCAUCAGAGCUAAAGGGAUGCUCAGACUCUCUGUCCUUUCUGUGUAGUGAGGGACCAGGCUGCUGGGCGAGUGUGAAGGAGCGAGUGUGAUUUGGGAUAUUCUUUUCUGGUAUGGCAAUGGCCAGCCUUUAGAGAGGUCAUUUGAAGUUGGCCAACAAGUAGACAUUAUUUCAAAAUAGUUCUUGAUCAUUAAAGAACCAACCAGUAUGUCUUAAAAACAAACAAACCAAUCUUUUGGAAAGUUUCUGCUGAAUGUGUGCCCUUCCGACUCACUUCUUAUCCUUUCUGUCAGAAACACCCCAGAAAAGGGGGUCUUGCCUUUGAACCACUCUGCUACUUUAAUCUUCCUGCUUCUGUCUGACCUACCUUCCUUCUUUCAGUAGCCAGGAUCCUUUCAGAGUGAGCUCCAAAAGGUGGGGAUUCUCCAGCCACGAGUGCCCUCUGAAAUUCUAUCUUACUUAGAAUAAAAUAUCUAGAUUUAUACAGUGUCCCCUUGUAUGGGUGGUGGCUUUUUUUUUUUUUCUAUCAUUUUCCUGCUUGUUCACACCACUCUCUCCCUGGCCUUCUUAUGUCACAGAUUUCCUGAGUACACUCUGGCCUCAGUCUUUCCAUGAAGUAACUCUCCUUUCUAGAACAUUCUUGCCUGCAUAACUAUCUGCUUCUGUCCUCACUGUAUUCUGAUCUGUAUUUCUAUGUCAAUUUCCAGACAGGCAUUCUCUGCCCAUCCUCUAAAGUGUGCCCCCUGUCUUCUUUGCUGUUACCUGUAUGCCCUAAGUCUAAGUCACUGACCUUAUUGUAGACUAAAUUUGUUAGCAUUUCUUUCCAGGAUGCAAGCCUAGUGAUGAAGGAGUCAUUGUUCCAUUGUCAGAAUAGCUACAGAAUCCAGCCUGUUCUGCCCUGGAUGCUUUAUUAAGUAAUGAAGCUCAAUAAAACAAUUUGACCAA
Molecule: long non-coding RNA, 2824 nt
Filed under: Mus musculus (house mouse)
Lineage: Eukaryota; Metazoa; Chordata; Mammalia; Rodentia; Muridae
Description: Pvt1 oncogene
Rfam family: Pvt1 oncogene conserved region 1 (bases 17-173)
Source: RNAcentral